This 301-nucleotide ribosomal RNA is filed under the name uncultured bacterium. RNAcentral describes it as "partial 16S ribosomal RNA". It matches the Rfam family "Bacterial small subunit ribosomal RNA", at positions 509 to 807 of the family's 1533-position model. The record is from RNAcentral.
CAGUAGCCACGGUAAAACGGAGGAUCCAAGCGUUAUCCGGAAUUAUUGGGUUUAAAGGGUGCGUAGGCGGCAUGCUAAGUCAGGGGUGAAAGACGGUGGCUCAACCAUCGCAGUGCCUUUGAUACUGGUGUGCUUGAAUGUACAUAAGGUAGGCGGAAUGAGACAAGUAGCGGUGAAAUGCAUAGAUAUGUCUCAGAACACCAAUUGCGAAGGCAGCUUACUAAGGUAUGAUUGACGCUGAUGCACGAAAGCGUGGGGAUCAAACAGGAUUAGAUACCCCCGUAGUCCCUGUCUCUUAUAC